RNAcentral lists this ribosomal RNA (595 nucleotides) under uncultured bacterium. Its description in RNAcentral is "bacterial SSU rRNA". It matches the Rfam family "Bacterial small subunit ribosomal RNA", at positions 112 to 704 of the family's 1533-position model. The record is from RNAcentral.
AACACGUAUGCAAUUUGCCCAUAACUGGGAGAUAACCCUCUGAAAGGAGGACUAAUAUCCCAUAAUCCAACGAGGUGGCAUCACUUUGUUGGUAAAGCUCCGGCGGUUAUGGAUAAGCAUGCGUCUGAUUAGCUAGUUGGCGAGGUAACGGCUCACCAAGGCAACGAUCAGUAGGGGGUCUGAGAGGAUGAUCCCCCACACGGGUACUGAGACACGGACCCGACUCCUACGGGAGGCAGCAGUAAGGAAUAUUGGACAAUGGAGGCAACUCUGAUCCAGCCAUGCCGCGUGAAGGAUGAAGGCGCUACGCGUUGUAAACUUCUUUUCUACUAGAAAAAACAUUUGGUUUCGUACCGAAUCUGAUUGUAUAGUGGGAAUAAGCAUCGGCUAACUUCGUGCCAGCAGCCGCGGUAAUACGAAGGAUGCAAGCGUUAUCCGGAUUUACUGGGUUUAAAGGGUGUGCAGGUGGGAUAAUAAGUCAGUGGUGAAAUCCCCCGACUCAAUCGGGGAACUGCCAUCGAUACUGUUAUUCUUGAGUGUAGUUGAGGUGGGCGGAAUAUGACAUGUAGCGGUGAAAUGCGUAGAUAUGUCAUAG